AUGGUGAACGGCGCAGAGGCUGUGCUGCCCUGUGAUAUUAUUCAUGACUCACCUCAAGUGCGCAUGUACGAAGGGAGAAAGGUCGAGCUUGAUCGGCCCGACAGUUUAGGUGCCCUGGAAAAGGAGCGCGAUGUUGCAAAAGCCUGUUCCGCAUUCUAUCAACAACAGGCUCGCAGGUAUCAAAGCAGAGAAGUACAGGCCAAAACUUAUAAUAUUGGCAAACUCGUUCUACGUCUACCGAAAAAGAAAAAGGACAAACUUAAGUCCAAAUGGGAGGGUCCCUUCAUUAUUGACAAAGUUCUCACCGGAGGAGCGUACCGGCUGUGUGAUGCAUCUGAUAAUCGCCUCGAGCCGAACCCAUGGAACGCGGCCAGACUCCGAAGAUUCUACGCCUAG
This 396-nucleotide ribosomal RNA is filed under the name Triticum aestivum (bread wheat). RNAcentral's name for it is "partial small subunit ribosomal RNA". The record is from RNAcentral. Lineage: Eukaryota; Viridiplantae; Streptophyta; Magnoliopsida; Poales; Poaceae.